GAUUUACCUAUAUUUGAGUACCUACUAUGUGAUAGGCACAUCACUUAACAUUUUCAGUUUUUUUUAUAUUAUGCAGCACAUUUUGACCUCUAGGAAACUAUUCCUGCAGUGCAUAUCAG
Myotis lucifugus (little brown bat) is the source of this 119-nucleotide non-coding RNA. The record is from Rfam. Lineage: Eukaryota; Metazoa; Chordata; Mammalia; Chiroptera; Vespertilionidae.